AGAGUUAAACAGUGCGUGAAAUUGUUGAAAGGGAAACGUUUGACACCAGUCAUGUGGGUGGAAAAUCAGUCUUUUGCAUUGGGGAGUUGUAAGGGUUCGGACCGCAAGGCCGGCUUUUGCUUCAUCUUUGGUGUAAGUGAUGCACUUUUUCAUCUACAGGUCAACAUCAGUUUCUUUUGCUGGACAAAACUCCGAGAGAAGGUAGCAGCUUUGGCUGUGUUAUAGCUCUGGGGCGAUACAGUGGAGGGGACUGAGGUUUUCGCAGUGUGUGCUUUCGGGCAAGGCUGACCGGGUGCUAUGGGAUCGUUCAGUGUACAAUGCAUGCAUUUUGCGCUGUGUCUUUUUCAUACUCGCCUGGCUCGGUUCUUCCACACUUAGGAUGUUGACUUAAUGGUUUUAAACGACC
This 406-nucleotide non-coding RNA is filed under the name uncultured fungus. RNAcentral also lists the same sequence under 1 other name. Lineage: Eukaryota; Fungi. The record is from RNAcentral.